Long non-coding RNA from Gigantopelta aegis, 1782 nucleotides. RefSeq lists it as uncharacterized. The record is from RefSeq and is a predicted model, not a curated record. The transcript is spliced from 4 exons. Lineage: Eukaryota; Metazoa; Mollusca; Gastropoda; Neomphalida; Peltospiridae.
AUCACCGAUACAGCGGUCGCAAAUUUUCUGGCAGAAAUACGUCAUAGGUUAAGCGAGGAACAGGGUUGUUUUGUAAUGACGUCAUAAAGACAAUUUCGGUAACGUUCAUAUUACGUACACAAGUCGUUCAAUACUGAGAGGAUUUUAUGUCAGAAAUGAACAUAUUAUUCUUUAUUAGUCGUUAUCUAAUCAUGAGAGCAGAUUAAAUAUGUCAAAUUACACAUCUAUGUUCGAGCCGCUAACUGUCCGACCACCCAUCGUCUGUUAAUGGGCUGCCUAAUGACGUCACCAGCUGGUGACGUUUAUAGGCUUAUUCUUACUACAAAUGUGACAAUUUCCUAUUUAAAAUCAACCAGCAAACAGUUUAAUUAGAAUAGGGAUAACCCUACUGUGUUUUCCGAUUUGCAUGAAUCUCUUCUGCCGACCUCAUCAAACAAAUUAAGCAUUGAAGGAAUUGCGGUAGGGAUUAUCAUUGGGAUUGCUGUUUCUGCCUUGGUAGUGACUAUCUUUGUUAUUUUGUGGAAACGAGGUUUAGUGUGUGUCUCUUCAAAAUCUGAAAAGCAGCAAAAUGAAACCAAUUUAACUGUGUGUUUCAGAUAACCAAAUAAACAUAUACUAUGAACUGGGAACUCGAGAAGAUACGCCGUAUGCAAAAUUUGAACUUUAUGAGAAUGUCAAGAACUGAUGUAUACAGAUUUUGGGUGUAUUAAAUAUACAUUAAAUUAGUGUAUUAAACAAACAUCUUUAUUGGAGUAUUAAAUAAACAUAUUGGUGUAUUAAAUAUAUAUUUCAUUGCUAUAUUAAAUACACAUUUUAUUGGUGUAUCAAAUACAUAUUUUAUUGGUGUGUCUAAUAAACAGUUUAAGUUGUAUCAAAAUACAUACAGUAAUUAUUUCGAGUAUCAAAGAAAUAUUUGAUUGGUGGUAGAAUACAUUUUAUUGGUGUGUUAUAUACACGAGUUUCUUUCUUUUUGAAUGAAUGGAUGUCUGACAUCCCAUACCAGUUAUGUCAUGUGGAACAGAGGUAAAUAUAAACAAGAAGACACAAUAGCUGAUGUCGUUUUCGUGCUGGGGUGUCGUUAAGCAUUCAUUCAUUCAUUCAUUCAAGAAAUUCCAGGAAUACUUUACUCUUGUUUCCUGUUGGCAUGGCAAGCUGCCUAACCCGAUAACUGCCUGAGUAAUUCUUAGCGCUUGCUCACAAAAUAAAUCCCAAAAACUUAUAAUCAGACCAAAGUGUAGUAUACAAAGCAGAUAGUCAAACCACAUCAACAAUAGCACAGAACCGAACAAUCAACAUACAAUAUUACAAACGAAACAUGCUAAAAUAAUCAUCAAUAACGACAAAAGCAAAACACACAAACCAUACCGCCGAAAACAAAAUGGAUACGCAUUAAACAUUUUUAAUAAUGUGUGCUAUAUUCAUGUUAUAAAUUUGUUUUUGUCAUGUUUUUGUCUGUGGUUUGUUUAAUUUGAUUUAUCAGGAAAACAAAUAUUUAUUGUAUUUUAAACAUCUUUUGCAGAAACCAUCACUAUACAAGACAGUUGGUUACAGAAUAAGUUAUUUCAGUAUUAUUUUGUACAACCUACAUGUAACACUGAAACAUUUGUGCGUUUCCUGAUGGACUUUCAGAGGACAUGUCAUGAGGUGCAUAAUGACACAUCGCUGACUAAAUUGGCAUUUAAUGCAACACCUUACUUUCGUAAUGACACUAAUGGAUACAUUGAACUUGUAAAGUGCAUUGCGAUAGCUUAGGUGCGCGGUUAUUAAAUUAAUAUAUGAGUA